AUAUAUAUAUAUAUAUAUAUAUAUAUAACUAUAGUAAUAAGAAUUUUAUUUUAUUUUUUUUAAACGUGCUAACUGUAAGUUUGUUCCUAUUUCAAUUAUGUUCAAAAAUUAUAAUAUAUUAGUUUUUAUAAAACGACUUAAACAAAUUAAAUCUUUUUAUAGCUCAGCUUUCAUUCUUUACUUCCUUCUUUCUUUCUUUCUUUCUUUCUUUUUUUUUUUUUUGUUUCCAUACAUAAGUUAUGAUACUAUUUACACAUUUUUAUUUUAUGUGAUUAAUUCUGUUAAAAAGUAACGGAAAAACGAAAUAGAAAAAGAGAGACAGAAGAGGUAGCCAAAAUGGAAAAAAGCGAAAAACAUGAAAGCAUGUUAAUGGCCAUUAUUCGUGAUUUCAACAGUAUAGAUGAUUUAAUUGAAAUGUUUGUGUCAUUUUUAGAAAGAAAAACAGAUUACUUUCAUAUAAUGAUUAGUGAUAAUGAUAUAAAACGUUACAUGAAAAAUAUAAUGGCGAAAUAGCGAAAGAUAUAUUAAAUAAUAAUAACCGUGGGUUUAGACCAAAUAAUAGAGAACAAGCACUGAUAAAAUUGUUCAGGAAACAUCAACUAAAUUAUUUAAUUAAAAAACAACCCUAUCUAAUUGAAAAUGAAAAUAUGAAAAAUAAAUAUUUACCACAAUGUGACGAAGUAAAAAAAUUAAAAAAUUUUACAAUUACCGAUGUAAAGAAUGUAAAAAAUAAUAACAUAAAAAACUCUGAAACUAUAACAACUCCCCUUAAUAGUACUGCCAUUGAUAAACAUAUAUCAAUAUGGAAUGGUGGACAUACCGAGAAAUAUUUUUGGAAUCAAACUUUAAACGAAAUAAAUAUGGAAAUUCCAAUGAACACAGAAAUUAAAGCGAAGGAUAUACAAAUUGAAAUAACUAAUAAUUAUAUAAAAGUUCAGCAUUUAGACAAAUUAAUAUUAAGUGGCCAAUUUUAUGAUGAAGUAUGUAAACAGUCAUCUAUGUGGAAUAUAGAAGAUAAAAAAAAAAUAAUAAUUUUUUUAGAAAAAAAAAAGAAAAUUGGUGGCCUUCUGUUAUAAAGGGGGACAAAGAAAUAGACACUUCAAAAAUUGAAUCUAAGAAAAAUUUAACAGAUUUUGAUCAAAAAACACAAGGAGAAAUAAUAAAAUUUUUACAAGAACAGAAAUUGUAAGAAUU
This 1194-nucleotide long non-coding RNA is filed under the name Piliocolobus tephrosceles (Ugandan red Colobus). RNAcentral's name for it is "lncRNA (ENSPTEG00000000715.1)". The record is from RNAcentral. Lineage: Eukaryota; Metazoa; Chordata; Mammalia; Primates; Cercopithecidae.